UACGGAGGAUGCGAGCGUUAUCCGGAUUUAUUGGGUUUAAAGGGUGCGCAGGCGGCACGGCAAGCCGGCGGUCAAAUCGCGGGGCUCAACCCCGCCCAGCCGUCGGAACUGCCGGGCUAGAGUGGGCGAGAAGUGCGCGGAAUGCGUGGUGUAGCGGUGAAAUGCAUAGAUAUCACGCAGAACUCCGAUUGCGAAGGCAGCGCACCGGCGCCCUACUGACGCUCAGGCACGAACGCGUGGGUAUCGAACAGG
Molecule: ribosomal RNA, 252 nt
Filed under: uncultured bacterium
Lineage: Bacteria
Description: partial 16S ribosomal RNA
Rfam family: Bacterial small subunit ribosomal RNA
Source: RNAcentral